This 468-nucleotide ribosomal RNA is filed under the name uncultured bacterium. RNAcentral describes it as "partial 16S ribosomal RNA". It matches the Rfam family "Bacterial small subunit ribosomal RNA", at positions 28 to 507 of the family's 1533-position model. The record is from RNAcentral.
GACGAACGCUGGCGGCGUGCUUAACACAUGCAAGUCGAACGGAAAGGCCCUGCUUUUGUGGGGUGCUCGAGUGGCGAACGGGUGAGUAACACGUGAGUAACCUGCCCUUGACUUUGGGAUAACUUCAGGAAACUGGGGCUAAUACCGGAUAGGAGCUCCUGCUGCAUGGUGGGGGGUGGAAAGGUUCGGCGGUUGGGGAUGGGCUCGCGGCUUAUCAGCUUGUUGGUGGGGUAGUGGCUUACCAAGGCUUUGACGGGUAGCCGGCCUGAGAGGGUGACCGGCCACAUUGGGACUGAGAUACGGCCCAGACUCCUACGGGAGGCAGCAGUGGGGAAUAUUGCACAAUGGGCGGAAGCCUGAUGCAGCAACGCCGCGUGCGGGAUGACGGCCUUCGGGUUGUAAACCGCUUUCGCCUGUGACGAAGCGUGAGUGACGGUAAUUGGUAAAGAAGCACCGGCUAACUACGUG